Molecule: long non-coding RNA, 1402 nt
Filed under: Cyanistes caeruleus (blue tit)
Lineage: Eukaryota; Metazoa; Chordata; Aves; Passeriformes; Paridae
Description: lncRNA (ENSCCEG00000015248.1)
Source: RNAcentral
CCUAGUUUUGCAGCAGCUGAAAAUCUAAGUGAUUUCUGUAAUAAUAAUAAUAAUGUGAUAAUCUGUAUUUCAAAGGGAUCAAAGGGUUCUCUUCCCUCACUCCCCGGGGGUUGCUUUCACUUAGGAGAAGCUAGUCUUUCUGAGUGCUCUAGUGCCUCUGUAUCUUUGUUUAAGGCAUUAUCUGCUACAAAUGUAUGGAAAGGAGUGGAAGAAAGGGAAGACAUGGACAUGAAGGUGAGAGCUCUUUGGGAGCAGGGAAGAGUUGCAGUUGGUCUCAUCCAGACCCAGCUUUGGUCACACCCAGCUUCUCUGGACAGAAUUAUCUUCUGCCUUGUGCUCUGCCCAGCUGCUACUUCUAAAUAAAGUUUGUAUGAUUGUUACUGAAACUACUGCAAACUGUUUUUCCUUGCAAGGAGAUUUUUGUCUUGGAAUUCUUUAAAAUCUUUCAAAAACCUCUGUUGGUGACUGAACUAAACUAUUGCUUUCAUUUGAUUAAUUUUACUAUAUAGCAGAAUUGCUAUUUUUUCAAUGUUUGCUCUCAUAAAUAAUGAUUUUAAUCAUUCCGUAUUUUCUUUGGGAGUUUUUUUUUUGUUUGUUUGUUUGUUUCAAAUCUUAAAUGUAUGUAUUAGUUGACUGAGGAGGAACUACAAAUUCUAUUAGUUUGCUCCCAAGAGUGUAGCAGGAUAUUUUCACAGGAAUCCCUCGGUGCAGAAUUUUUAGCAAGACAGGAAAAGAAGGGAGAGUAGGGCAGGAAGGAGUCAUCUGACUAUCCCCUACCUUUGAUAGGUGGAGAAAGAGCUCUGGAAUGACAGUCCCUGAGGUAGCUUUUUGAGAAGAGCUUUAGCUCAUCUUUUCCUUUUUAAGUAGCCCAGAGACAGCAAAUUUAAGAUUACUUUGGGUUUUUUGCAGCUCCCUGAGUUUUCUUAUUUCCUUCCAGUAUCUCCAACUUUCCUUUUUCAUCUUGCUCCUCCUGGAGCAUGCUGGAGAUGGCAUAGCAGGGUGGAGAUGUGCUGGGAGUGUUUCUGGAUGUGGCCGUGUUGGCUGACACGCAGCGUGUGCUGGGCCAGGCUCGCCCUGCUUCGUGCGCUCCCUGGACAGCACAGGGGGGCUCCAGCUCUGCUGAUCCCUGCACUGAGCCCUGGUGAGCUGGCAAACACCCCUGCUCAGGGUGUAAAACACUGACCCAGAGCUGCUCUGGGUUAAUGCCCACGGGCACGGUGUCCGCCGUCAUCUCCCAGCGAGUGCGGAACCCUCGAGCUUUGCUCACUGCUUGCUCCCUAAUAUUGUGCUUUCAUUUCCUGCUCUUGCACAGCUUACAAGAUCAAUUAAAAUUGGCUGACAUCUGGAGCCUUUAAAAGAAAAAAAAAAUAAAUAAAAAAAUUAGUGGUAUUCCUGAACUCCU